This is a long non-coding RNA of Saccostrea cuccullata (small rock oyster), 955 nucleotides long. RefSeq lists it as uncharacterized. The transcript has 5 exons. The record is from RefSeq and is a predicted model, not a curated record. Lineage: Eukaryota; Metazoa; Mollusca; Bivalvia; Ostreida; Ostreidae.
CUGUAUAUUUUCAGGUUCCCGGACGGGGGACGACGCUGGAGGACGACGCUGGAGGACGACGUUGGAGGACCAAGGCCGGCCAACAGAAGAAGAGGAAUUUAUUGUCUAGUUAUGUACAGUGCAUCCUAUUAGUGAAAAGGCGGAAGACAGUUAACGCUGAUCCAGAUGCCUUAGUGAGACAGAGCUUGUCUCCCAUUCAACUGGAGCCCCCUACUGGAAGAUGCGGAUGCAGACCGAUGGGGCCCGUCAGAAGAUGAACGCAAGGAGCCGAUUCCGCAACCAGGAAGCCUAUUAGAGAAGUGCCAUUUAUGUCUCCCUUUCUUAUUUUUUGUCUGUUUCUUGUAUCCUCCCUACGCUAACAUAACUAAAACUUAUCUUCUCCUCCCCAUCCUCUUCCUCCAUUUUACUCUUUCCUGAUCUAAUUGCUUAAAUUGUCUUCAUUUUCUUAAUCGAUUUGUUCAUCUCAUCUUCGUUUAAUGUUUGUGUUUAUGUCAAUUUCUCGAAUUAUUUGUGUUUAUUGUGUUGAGUUUUUACUAAUUUUGUUCUAGCGGUAUAUUUUCAGGUUCCCGGACGGGGGACGACGCUGGAGGACGACGUUGGAGGACCAAGGCCGGCCAACAGAAGAAGAGGAAUUUAUUGUCUAGUUAUGUACAGUGCAUCCUAUUAGUGAAAAGGCGGAAGACAGUUAACGCUGAUCCAGAUGCCUUAGUGAGACAGAGCUUGUCUCCCAUUCAACUGGAGCCCCCUACUGGAAGAUGCGGAUGCAGACCGAUGGGGCCCGUCAGAAGAUGAACGCAAGGAGCCGAUUCCGCAACCAGGAAGCCUAUUAGAGAAGUGCCAUUUAUGUCUCCCUUUCUUAUUUUUUGUCUGUUUCCUGUAUCCUCCCUACGCUAACAUAACUAAAACUUAUCUUCUCCUCCCCAUCCUCUUCCUCCAUUUUACUCUUUCCUGAUCU